This 481-nucleotide long non-coding RNA is filed under the name Homo sapiens (human). Its description in RNAcentral is "HSALNT0009368". The record is from RNAcentral. Lineage: Eukaryota; Metazoa; Chordata; Mammalia; Primates; Hominidae.
UAUGCUGUGGAGCCCAGUCACCAGUCAAGAUCCAUAUGAGAAUCAUAUCUUUGGACAUAUCCUAUAUAAAACAAAUACAUACUGAUACCGACAGGAGACAAGGAAACACUGUGUAGAAGAGGGCAGUUCCCUGGCAAAGGCCUCACCCUCAAGUCCGGAUACCUGCAGUCCUAAAUGAGAACAGGCAUUCCUGUUUUCACACCCAAAUGCUGUCUUUUGGCCUGCCACACCCCCUAUCUUGCACCCAUAUAAACUCUGAAUCCCAAGCUUCAGAAACAGACCAGCAAGCCAGCAGAACAGCAGAAAACACAGAACAACACAGCAGAGAAAGGGAGAUGAGGAAGAACAUCUGAAUGCAGAGAGGAGUUCAGCUAGGGGCAGUUGGAGAGGAGUCUGGCCGCUGGGCAGCCCGACUCUGAGGGAGGAUCGCCUUCCCACUCCAUUCCCCCUUUGCAGCUCCUCAUCCAUCCCUCUGAAAGCC